RNAcentral lists this ribosomal RNA (494 nucleotides) under uncultured bacterium. RNAcentral describes it as "bacterial SSU rRNA". It matches the Rfam family "Bacterial small subunit ribosomal RNA", at positions 899 to 1397 of the family's 1533-position model. The record is from RNAcentral.
ACUCAAAUGAAUUGACGGGGACCCGCACAAGCAGCGGAGCAUGUGGUUUAAUUCGAAGCAACGCGAAGAACCUUACCAGGACUUGACAUCCUCCUGACAGGCCCUUAAACGGGCCCUUCUUCGGACAGGAGAGACAGGUGGUGCAUGGUUGUCGUCAGCUCGUGUCGUGAGAUGUUGGGUUAAGUCCCGCAACGAGCGCAACCCUUGUCAUUAGUUGCUAACAUUAAGUUGAGGACUCUAAUGAGACUGCCGGGGACAACUCGGAGGAAGGUGGGGAUGACGUCAAAUCAUCAUGCCCCUUAUGUUCUGGGCUACACACGUGCUACAAUGGCCGGUACAACGAGAAGCGAAGUCGCAAGGCGGAGCAAAACUCAAAAACCGGUCCCAGUUCGGAUUGCAGGCUGAAACCCGCCUGCAUGAAGCCGGAGUUGCUAGUAAUCGCGAAUCAGAAUGUCGCGGUGAAUGCGUUCCCGGGUCUUGUACACACCGCCCGU